GAUGAACGCUGGCGGCGUGCCUAUACCUGCAAGUCGAGCGAACGGACGAGAAGCUUGCUUCUCUGAUGUUAGCGGCGGACGGGUGAGUAACACGUGGAUAACCUACCUAUAAGACUGGGAUAACUUCGGGAAACCGGAGCUAAUACCGGAUAAUAUUUUGAACCGCAUGGUUCAAAAGUGAAAGACGGUCUUGCUGUCACUUAUAGAUGGAUCCGCGCUGCAUUAGCUAGUUGGUAAGGUAACGGCUUACCAAGGCAACGAUGCAUAGCCGACCUGAGAGGGUGAUCGGCCACACUGGAACUGAGACACGGUCCAGACUCCUACGGGAGGCAGCAGUAGGGAAUCUUCCGCAAUGGGCGAAAGCCUGACGGAGCAACGCCGCGUGAGUGAUGAAGGUCUUCGGAUCGUAAAACUCUGUUAUUAGGGAAGAACAUAUGUGUAAGUAACUGUGCACAUCUUGACGGUACCUAAUCAGAAAGCCACGGCUAACUACGUG
Molecule: ribosomal RNA, 496 nt
Filed under: uncultured bacterium
Lineage: Bacteria
Description: partial 16S ribosomal RNA
Rfam family: Bacterial small subunit ribosomal RNA
Source: RNAcentral